GCACCACAAGCGCGUGGAGCAUGUGGCUUAAUUUGACUCAACGCGGGAAAUCUUACCGGGUCCGGACAUAUCGAGGAUUGACAGACAGUUACCAUGCCCUUUCGAAAGGAGUCAGGUUUUAAACCUAAUGGCUCUUUCAUGAUUAUAUGAUAGGUGGUGCAUGGCCGUUCUUAGUUCGUGGAGUGAUCUGUCUGCUUAAUUGCGUUUCAAAUUUUUAUUUGAGGACCAGGUUUUGGUUUGGGUAGUGGUCCUACGAUGACUGUGAACUGUCAUGUCUUCGGAUGUGCGACUAUCGGUCUAGGAUCGCAUCUCAGCCCCUGGGACUCUUUUGAACGCAACGGACGUGAUUGCAACCCCUUGUUGAGAUUAGAGGAGUCUCGAUAUUCAUUGGCCAAACUUACCGCUUCGAGCUUGCUCGUGCAGUUUUGUUAGCCGGUGGAUAAACUCGGGGGACUGCUGAC
This 461-nucleotide ribosomal RNA is filed under the name Globigerinoides ruber ruber. RNAcentral describes it as "SSU rRNA". It matches the Rfam family "Eukaryotic small subunit ribosomal RNA", at positions 1164 to 1427 of the family's 1831-position model. Lineage: Eukaryota; Foraminifera; Rotaliida; Globigerinidae. The record is from RNAcentral.